AUUGAACGCUGGCGGCAGGCUUAACGCAUGCAAGUCGAGCGGUAACAGGGGGUGCUUGCACCCCGCUGACGAGCGGCGGACGGGUGAGUAAUGCUUAGGAAUCUGCCCAGUAGUGGGGGAUAGCCCGGGGAAACCCGGAUUAAUACCGCAUACGUCCUACGGGAGAAAGCAGGGGAUCUUCGGACCUUGCGCUACUGGAUGAGCCUAAGUCGGAUUAGCUAGUUGGUGGGGUAAAGGCCUACCAAGGCGACGAUCCGUAGCUGGUCUGAGAGGAUGAUCAGCCACAUCGGGACUGAGACACGGCCCGAACUCCUACGGGAGGCAGCAGUGGGGAAUAUUGGACAAUGGGGGCAACCCUGAUCCAGCCAUGCCGCGUGUGUGAAGAAGGCUUUCGGGUCGUAAAGCACUUUCAGCGAGGAGGAAGGCUCUGAAGUUAAUACCUUCAGGGAUUGACGUUACUCGCAGAAGAAGCACCGGCUAACUCCGUGCCAGCAGCCGCGGUAAUACGGAGGGUGCAAGCGUUAAUCGGAAUUACUGGGCGUAAAGCGCGCGUAGGUGGUUAGGUAAGCGAGAUGUGAAAGCCCCGGGCUUAACCUGGGAACGGCAUUUCGAACUGUCUGACUAGAGUGUGGUAGAGGGUAGUGGAAUUUCCUGUGUAGCGGUGAAAUGCGUAGAUAUAGGAAGGAACACCAGUGGCGAAGGCGGCUACCUGGACCAACACUGACACUGAGGUGCGAAAGCGUGGGGAGCAAACAGGAUUAGAUACCCUGGUAGUCCACGCCGUAAACGAUGUCAACUAGCCGUUGGGACUCUUGAAGUCUUAGUGGCGCAGCUAACGCACUAAGUUGACCGCCUGGGGAGUACGGCCGCAAGGUUAAAACUCAAAUGAAUUGACGGGGGCCCGCACAAGCGGUGGAGCAUGUGGUUUAAUUCGACGCAACGCGAAGAACCUUACCUGGCCUUGACAUCCAGAGAACUUUCCAGAGAUGGAUUGGUGCCUUCGGGAACUCUGAGGCAGGUGCUGCAUGGCCGUCGUCAGCUCGUGUCGUGAGAUGUUGGGUUAAGUCCCGUAACGAGCGCAACCCCUAUCCCUGGUUGCUAGCAGGUAAUGCUGAGAACUCCAGGGAGACUGCCGGUGACAAACCGGAGGAAGGUGGGGAUGACGUCAGGUCAUCAUGGCCCUUACGGCCAGGGCUACACACGUGCUACAAUGGCGCGUACAGAGGGCUGCCAACUCGCGAGAGUGCGCCAAUCCCUUAAAACGCGUCGUAGUCCGGAUCGGAGUCUGCAACUCGACUCCGUGAAGUCGGAAUCGCUAGUAAUCGCGAAUCAGAGUGUCGCGGUGAAUACGUUCCCGGGCCU
This 1362-nucleotide ribosomal RNA is filed under the name uncultured bacterium. RNAcentral's name for it is "bacterial SSU rRNA". It matches the Rfam family "Bacterial small subunit ribosomal RNA", at positions 28 to 1381 of the family's 1533-position model. The record is from RNAcentral.